Molecule: long non-coding RNA, 276 nt
Filed under: Helianthus annuus (common sunflower)
Lineage: Eukaryota; Viridiplantae; Streptophyta; Magnoliopsida; Asterales; Asteraceae
Description: hypothetical non coding rna
Source: RNAcentral
UGGCGGUGGUGGUGGUGUUGUCGAAUGGUGCACCUUGUGCACUGGCGUAAGCCCGUGCAGCAAUGUAGUAACGGCCUGUCGUCUGGUCGGCUUUCAUGAGGACAUCGGUGGUCUGACCCGGUCCAAGCAUGAGGACUUUCGUGGUAAAGGGUUUUACGAAGCAUCCGCUCCCACCACUGUAAGCUUGUGGUUAGCAAUAGUGAAAAAUAGUUGUUGAUUUAGAGCAGCAUUGAUCACCCGAAUUAGGCUUGUUUCUCCUGGGUUGACUGGUACUUU